Molecule: unclassified non-coding RNA, 2522 nt
Filed under: Hevea brasiliensis (rubber tree)
Lineage: Eukaryota; Viridiplantae; Streptophyta; Magnoliopsida; Malpighiales; Euphorbiaceae
Source: RNAcentral
CAUUAGCAUCAUCCUUGUCAUGAAUAACCAGUCUCUCAUCUGAGAGGAGAAAACAAUCCAAUAUCUUCUGUCCAAGCAACAAUUAAAGAAUACGGAUUGAAUGUUGCCAUAGGAAUGAACUUAUGGCAACAUUUCAUAAGUUAGGGGAAAUUUUUGAAAAAAAGAAAGUGGAUUUAUACAGAUAACUAAUGAUGGAUAAGUAGGUGACACCUCAAAUCCACAUGAUGCUAGUGAAAAAAACUUUAAUCAAUACAAUAACUGGAGAUAACUAUGAUAUUUUAAGAAGAAACUAGCUCCAUAACCAAAAAGAAGAAGCUAACCUCAAAAAACUGGAAACAAAAUAAAACUCUCUAAAGAACUCUUCCAUCCAUGCCAUCUAGAAGACCUGACCAAAUUCCCUUUGCAGGUGGCAACUGUGCAACAAAAGCAUUCCAUGGAGGGUAACCAACACCACUGCCACGGACGCGUCCAUCCAAGCGCAAUGAUAAAUACACAGGAGAUUCAAGGGAGACACCAGCCAGUUUCUUUUGCUCAUCUAACCACUUAGACCACUCGGUAAUAUAGGUUGGAUUCAGCUGCCAGAGCCGCUUCCUUUUUGCCGUAACCUCCUUCAUUUCCUCACUCUCAUCAAACUCAAAACUAGGUAAAUUCCCAUCUGUAGCAAAUGGCACCACAAGCACCCCUCUAUCUAAGAGACUCUGGGUGAAAGCUUCGCUAAGUCUAAAAGACUCCAAAAUAUAGGAUCCAGGGCCAGCACAGAUUACAAGGCGUGCAAUACCUCUCAAAGAGUUGACAGAAAUAAUCCUUUUUCCAUCCACACGGAGCUUAAGAUUUGAAAGGCUUUCCUCUCUUGAAAGCCUAGCCAGUUGUGCUUUCUUGGCAUUAUUCUCCCUGUAAUAUAAGAAUACAAAGAGAGAUACUGCUCCAAUAUCUAUGCCGAGACCUUUCAAUAUGUCUGGGGCUUGAGCUACUCUUGCUGGAUUUGUUAGUGCAGCUAUCAGUUGUGUGGUUGCUAUUAGUCCUCCCAAAGCACCACUUGCAAUAAAAGCUAGAUAAAAAAACAUCCGUACAGAUCGAAAUGGAGAGAGAACUUCACUUCUUAUCUUGGCUGUAGAACUGAAGAACAAAUAAAAGAAUGAUUACAAGGAAGCUUCACUUUUAAAAGAACCUGAUACCAGAAGCAUUGAAUGGAAAAACCAAGUCAGAGAGGAAAUUGAAAAUGACACAUAUUGCAUCUUUUAUUACUUCUAAAUUCCAGCAAGAGGUGAGAAAAUGAAAAAUUGCAUAAGUUUACAUAUAAGAGCAGCAGUUUAUAAUGUCAAACCAUAUAGACCUAUCCUUAAAUGGCAUAGGUAUUGGAGCCAAAAAAGGAAUGGAAGAAAGUCUGCCAUAUAAUCCUUGCAUAACAAUAUUUUCUAGAAUAUAGCAUUAAUUGUUAUAUAUAUUACUAUUACAAACUCUUCACAUCAAUUUGAGUGUCCAGGGCCAACAACCAUGAACUCCCCAGUCAGAAGAAAUAUGGUGGUAAACAAUGCUAACAGCAAACAUUUUAAUAAUAAAGUGGUUGAAACUUGAAUGGUUUGCUACCAUUUCAGGUCAUAUAGUUAAGAAAAGCUUCACAGCGUUCUAUCCAAUAUAUUGUGUAAAAAGGUAAAAUCUCUGGACACCUGACGAUUCACAGGCUGAGAUCCACUAUAUCAAGAGUUUAUUUUCAGCUUUCAUUUCCAACCCCUUGUGUUUCUAAAACCUGAACUGCACCAAAUUACUCUCAAAUGAAGUAUUUUGCAUUCAGUCAUCAAUUAGCUUUAGUUAACGGAGCCAAACCACGUCAGUCAACUUUCCUCAACGUAGCAAAACAUCUCUUUUUGUUACCGAGAAAAGGGCCCAGGUUUUGCAACCGUGAGUCCUUCCUGGGAUUAACUCCAGCAAUAUACCUCUUAAGUUGGUUUGCCCCAAUUACUCUAAUUUCAUCAUUUGAAUAUUUUCUUUAUGAUUUUAGCAUUCACCAAGCUUCAUCCUGAUUACUAUCUCAAAUAAUCACCACUAACUUAGUUUAGAACCACACUGAAAAAGAAACAAAAUUUCCCAUCCAUUCACCUCAAAAUCUAUAAUCCGGCAAGGAUUAAUCAAUAGCUGAAUUUUGAAAUUCUGUUACCAUUUUCAAUUCAUAGACUGAUUUUGCCAUUCGAGAUUGAAUAACAUCAAAGAAAAUAAAGAUGAAUACGAGAGAGAGAAAGGGAACCCACCAACCUGAUUUCAGGAGGGGAAGGCUUAUUAGCGGCAGAACAGGUAAUGGAGGAACAGUUUUGCUUCUUGGUAUGGACCAUAAUGUGAUUUCUAUUAUUACCUAUGCAAGUGAACCAAGUUUGCCUGUGACUGAUAAUUUGACUGCUAAAGCUGAAGUACUUGCAGUUGCUGUUGUGAUAGAAGUCAGCAGGUCCAAUACUAAAAUUGUAGGAAACAUGAGCGAUGAAAGAAGCCAUGGCUGCAAUUUUUGAAAUUGGAAGCAGAAGCAGUCGUUG